GGGGACCUUCGGGGCCCUGCACCUCGGGCCCAAGGGCCCCNAAACAGACGGAAGACAGAAA
The submitters of this non-coding RNA (61 nucleotides) gave its source as unclassified sequences. The record is from Rfam.